UACGAAGGGGGCUAGCGUUGCUCGGAAUCACUGGGCGUAAAGCGCACGUAGGCGGACUCUUAAGUCUGAUGUGAAAGCCCUGGGCUCAACCUGGGAAUGGCAUUGGAUACUGGCGAGCUAGAGUGCGGUAGAGGAUGGCGGAAUUCCCGGUGUAGCAGUGAAAUGCGUAGAGAUCGGGAGGAACAUCUGUGGCGAAGGCGGCCAUCUGGACCAGCACUGACACUGAGGCACGAAAGCGUGGGGAGCAAACAGG
Molecule: ribosomal RNA, 253 nt
Filed under: uncultured bacterium
Lineage: Bacteria
Description: partial 16S ribosomal RNA
Rfam family: Bacterial small subunit ribosomal RNA
Source: RNAcentral